CCCGGACGCAAAAACCUGUUCAAAAUCAAUUUAAUCUUACAUAUCCAUGAAACGACAGAGCCGUACUCUAUAAUUUUUUCCGUUUUGUAUACCUUUUACAUGCGCUCCACUCCAAUAAAAAACAAUUAGAGAAAAAGAGUCUCGAUAUCUGUGCACAGAGGAGGAAGAAGCACAAGCAGAAGCUGCUUCAUUCCAAUCCAUGGCUGUUUUCUUCUCUUGGCUUCUCCCAUUCAUUCUCUAGCGAGCUCAUUCUCUACUUCUCUAGCUGCUUUAAGGGUAUUUUUACAGUGUAGUGUUGUCACUUCAAUCGACCUAGGGAGGAGGGAAAAAGAAGAAAUGCAAAACCGAAUCUAAUAAAGGCUGGUUGCAUUUUUUUUGUUUUAUUUUUCUCAUUUCUCUGUACAUUGUGUGCUCUUUUGUUAUAUUUUCUCUCUAAUUCACUUGUCUGUUAUUGAGGACUGAAUUGAUUCUAUGAUUAAUCCCCUGCACUGCUUGUUAACUAAUAACUAGGAACAUAUUUUCUCCGGGGUGAAAAAAGAUAGGAACAUAUUCUCCUGGAAGCAUUUCCGUGGCCUGGAAACAAAGCAAUUAGUAACUACUGUUGGUUUCCUGGCUUUCUCGUCAGGGUCCAGACAAAAUGAGUGCACGAUGGAGCGGGUUUUGAAAAAAUGUUUUUUUUAAAUAUUGUAAAUCUUACUAACCCCACAAAUUAACAUCAGUGAAGGUUCCUAAUUUCACGGCAAA
This 744-nucleotide unclassified non-coding RNA is filed under the name Hevea brasiliensis (rubber tree). Lineage: Eukaryota; Viridiplantae; Streptophyta; Magnoliopsida; Malpighiales; Euphorbiaceae. The record is from RNAcentral.